Molecule: ribosomal RNA, 490 nt
Filed under: uncultured bacterium
Lineage: Bacteria
Description: partial 16S ribosomal RNA
Rfam family: Bacterial small subunit ribosomal RNA
Source: RNAcentral
AUUGAACGCUGGCGGCAGGCCUAACACAUGCGAGUCGAACGGUAACAGGAAGCAGCUUGCUGCUUCGCUGACGAGUGGCGGACGGGUGAGUAAUGUCUGGGAAACUGCCUGAUGGAGGGGGAUAACUACUGGAAACGGUAGCUAAUACCGCAUAACGUCGCAAGACCAAAGAGGGGGACCUUAGGGCCUCUUGCCAUCGGCUGUGCCCAGAUGGGAUUAGCUAGUAGGUGGGGUAACGGCUCACCUAGGCGACGAUCCCUAGCUGGUCUGAGAGGAUGACCAGCCACACUGGAACUGAGACACGGUCCAGACUCCUACGGGAGGCAGCAGUGGGGAAUAUUGCACAAUGGGCGCAAGCCUGAUGCAGCCAUGCCGCGUGUAUGAAGAAGGCCUUCGGGUUGUAAAGUACUUUCAGCGGGGAGGAAGGGAGUAAAGUUAAUACCUUUGCUCAUUGACGUUACCCGCAGAAGAAGCACCGGCUAACUCCGUG